GACGAACGCUGGCGGCGCGCCUAACACAUGCAAGUCGAACGAGCGAGAGAGAGCUUGCUUUCUCGAGCGAGUGGCGAACGGGUGAGUAACGCGUGAGGAACCUGCCUCAAAGAGGGGGACAACAGUUGGAAACGACUGCUAAUACCGCAUAAGCCCACGACCCGGCAUCGGGUAGAGGGAAAAGGAGCAAUCCGCUUUGAGAUGGCCUCGCGUCCGAUUAGCUAGUUGGUGAGGUAACGGCCCACCAAGGCGACGAUCGGUAGCCGGACGGAGGGGUUGAACGGCCACAUUGGGACUGAGACACGGCCCAGACUCCUACGGGAGGCAGCAGUGGGGAAUAUUGCACAAUGGGGGAAACCCUGAUGCAGCGACGCCGCGUGGAGGAAGAAGGUCUUCGGAUUGUAAAAUCCUGUUGUUGAGGAAGAUAAUGACGGUACUCAACAAGGAAGUGACGGCUAACUACGUG
Molecule: ribosomal RNA, 466 nt
Filed under: uncultured bacterium
Lineage: Bacteria
Description: partial 16S ribosomal RNA
Rfam family: Bacterial small subunit ribosomal RNA
Source: RNAcentral